GUGAAUCAUCGAAUCUUUGAACGCAAAUUGCGCUUUUUGGCAUCCCGGGAAGCAUGCCUGUUUGAGGGUCAGUAUAAAUAAAAAAUCGGUUUGGGUACAAAGUGUGACGUUUUCGGAGCUUGGGCUAUCUUAACAUGUUUGGUUAAGAGGCUUAAAAUUUACCGUCUUUGCGCAUUUUUU
RNAcentral lists this unclassified non-coding RNA (180 nucleotides) under Glomeromycotina sp. Its description in RNAcentral is "partial contains 5.8S ribosomal RNA and internal transcribed spacer 2". The stretch from base 1 to 71 matches the Rfam family "5.8S ribosomal RNA", at positions 84 to 154 of the family's 154-position model. The record is from RNAcentral. Lineage: Eukaryota; Fungi; Glomeromycota.